Long non-coding RNA from Ornithodoros turicata, 1799 nucleotides. RefSeq lists it as uncharacterized. The transcript has 3 exons. The record is from RefSeq and is a predicted model, not a curated record. Lineage: Eukaryota; Metazoa; Arthropoda; Arachnida; Ixodida; Argasidae.
GCACCUCAUUCACUGACCGAGUGAACAUUGUGGCAAGCAGAUCAUUCAAUCGGUCAUUCCAUUCAGUUCGUUCUCCUCCUCGCUUCUUCUCCGCAGGGCUGGCACUCCUUCGCAUGCGCCGAGGGCGAUUCACAUUCCGCAGCUAAGGUUCGCAGCGGACAACAUAGAUUGCAGCGCCGUCGUGAGUAGCGGGACGGCAGAUUGCAGAGAUUGUGCAACAAGCGACGACCAGAGAGACGAAGGGCGUCACUGAACUGAACUGGUGAACGAAUCUUUUGGUCGUUGGUGAAUGAGUUCAUUCAGUUCACACGACUGAGUCGUUCAGUCUGAACGAAUCAUUCACGACCGACACAUCACUAAUCGCGCAGCAAGAUGGCGGCUGUUUCCAGCAAGUGGAAAUUUCAGUUGUUGAGAUGCACCGCAUGUUACAGUGGGAUUGCAACAUACGUUAACUGUUUCGAACGAUGGGCAUCAUCUGCGGGAAGUUGUUGGAUGUUAUGACGUAUUGAGUUGGGCAACUCACGCGUCAACGUCCAAUAUUGCCGUGCUGCUUGUGCAUUUGGUGCAACAGGAAUACACACACAACGAAGAAAGAAUACCGGAGUGAAACGAAAGAGCUCAACUCACCACGGUGGAUCCGGACAGGAACAGCCAUGUCCGCUCACUACUGAGUGUCGGCUAUCACACGUGUCUCCAUAUAGAGGUUUCCUCAUAGCCGCCCUCUCAUACUCAAAAAAUGGGUGCAGAACCUGUGCAGAAAAGACUGGACACCAUCAAAGACCUCGGUGAUCUGCAGCAGGCAUUUUUAGGAAGACUGCUUUGACCGGACUGGGCAGACAGUGUGCCUUAAGACCGACGCAGUACCAACAAAGUUUGAUUUUCCACAGCACCUCCAAAAAGUAAAAGCUUAUGCAUCACAUCAAAAUUUUUUAAGCUAUUCUGGAUAGUGUGUGAUUGCUCUGCAUUAACUGUCAUAGAUGUGAACCACAUAUGUACAGUAGACUCUCAGUAAUUCAAACCAGCAGGGGACUGGUGAUCAUUGUGUUGAUUACUACACAUACACAUCUAAACAUGGGCCGCAAGGAAGAAUUAGGUCAUGGGAGCACAUUUGUCUGGUACAAAUUAGUGACCCACGUUGCUUACAUCUAAUGUUGGUUACCUUUAUGCUGCCACAAGUUUCCUUUUGGACCCCUGAAACGCUCUGUAAUCAUUUUAGCUGCAAUGGGAGUGUCCUCUCAGCAUCUCAACUGCUUGCAAAAUGUAAACAUCUUAAAAAAUGACACAGUUUUGAAGAUUUCACAUUCUGGAAAUUUGCAACAGCAGAGGCUGUCAGAGUGCGACCUACUGAAAGGUUUGUUUUACGGAAGCAGAUUUGUGGUAGCCAUUCCUUCAAAGUAGUCAUAUCUUAUAAAGGAAUGAAAAGCGUGAAAUUAGCACAAGUGCCGUUCGAAUUUUUAAUACACUGGACACAUAGCCUGCCAACCCAAAAUUUUGAACUUGUUUGAGCUACAGUAGUUUGAUCCCCUUUUGCAGGACACUUAAGUAACCAGACAAAAUAAACUGCCCACAAGUGUGAAUUAUCAGAGCUUACAUUAAUGAGAGCCCACUAUACAGAGAUCAGCAUAUAUGGAUAAAUAAAAGGGUGGUGUUUGCGCGUCAUUACUCAUUCCAAUGUCAAAUUGGAUUCAGUAGUUUUGCAUAGCGCCCCCAUACGUCAUCAUUUUUGAAAUAAAAGUAUUGUCUCCUUACACAUUCCCUGUACCUUCAAAAUGCAUAAUGACAAUAAAUAACUGCUGAAC